RNAcentral lists this ribosomal RNA (468 nucleotides) under uncultured bacterium. RNAcentral's name for it is "partial 16S ribosomal RNA". It matches the Rfam family "Bacterial small subunit ribosomal RNA", at positions 28 to 507 of the family's 1533-position model. The record is from RNAcentral.
GACGAACGCUGGCGGCGUGCUUAACACAUGCAAGUCGAACGGAAAGGCCCUGCUUUUGUGGGGUGCUCGAGUGGCGAACGGGUGAGUAACACGUGAGUAACCUGCCCUUGACUUUGGGAUAACUUCAGGAAACUGGGGCUAAUACCGGAUAGGAGCUCCUGCUGCAUGGUGGGGGUUGGAAAGUUUCGGCGGUUGGGGAUGGACUCGCGGCUUAUCAGCUUGUUGGUGGGGUAGUGGCCUACCAAGGCUUUGACGGGUGGCCGGCCUGAGAGGGUGACCAGCCACAUUGGGACUGAGAUACGGCCCAGACUCCUACGGGAGGCAGCAGUGGGGAAUAUUGCACAAUGGGCGGAAGCCUGAUGCAGCAACGCCGCGUGCGGGAUGACGGCCUUCGGGUUGUAAACCGCUUUCGCCUGUGACGAAGCGUGAGUGACGGUAAUGGGUAAAGAAGCACCGGCUAACUACGUG